UGCCCCAUGGCCUAGUUAGUUAAGGCAUCCAACGGUUAAUCGGGUGAUCGAGAGUUCACGCCUCUCUGGGACAA
RNAcentral lists this transfer RNA (74 nucleotides) under Fistulina hepatica ATCC 64428. RNAcentral's name for it is "tRNA-Asn (GTT) (tRNA-Asn-GTT-3-1)". The record is from RNAcentral. Lineage: Eukaryota; Fungi; Basidiomycota; Agaricomycetes; Agaricales; Fistulinaceae.